UAGGCAGGGGCGGAUCCAGGAUUUCAGAUUAGGGGGGGCGCAAUGUCAAAAUUUCGCCGAGCGGAGCGAGGCGAAAAUUUUUUUGAGGUAUAAUUAUCGAAAUUAUUGGAAUAUUCUUCUAAAGAGGGUGUAAUGUAGAUAUCUUGCAUGGCAAGCAAAACGUGGCGAAUAUUUUGUGUUAAAAUAAGCGAGAAAUUAAAGUUUCAAGCUAAAACCGAUAAAUCACCCCUGUCAAUCUACAAUCACCAUAAUAAACAAGAAAUGUGCGAGUUUCAAUUCAUUGACUCAACAAUAGCUCAACUGACCAAUAUUAGAUUUAAAAAAAAAACGGUCUACUUUUGCCAGCGAUUUUUCAUUGUCUUUUCACAAUUUUUUAUUAUUAUUAUUUUUUGUUGUUUUCGGAGGUCGUGCCAAACUUUUUAUGUACAUUUUUUUUUACAGCAAACCACUAAAUUCAAAAUGAGAUCUUUAUUUUCAUGGGAUCCUAUAUGUAAUACGGAAAUACGAGUUGGAGCCUUGAUCGUUUAUGCAUGCUUCGGCAAACUUUACAGGUUGCAAUUAAGUGAGAAACAUAUAUUGAUACAGAUAUAUUAAAUAUUGAUACAAAUUAAUAAAACUAACCUUUCGCUUGAACCAGUAUUUCUAUCUUUCAUUAAGAAAGAAUUUAACCAGUUACCUUGACUGUUUUCUUCGCUGUGCAAUGAUGAAAUACCCAAC
Molecule: long non-coding RNA, 717 nt
Filed under: Mytilus galloprovincialis (Mediterranean mussel)
Lineage: Eukaryota; Metazoa; Mollusca; Bivalvia; Mytilida; Mytilidae
Source: RNAcentral